AUAUGAUUUUUUAUUUUAUUUUAAUAAAAGAAUAUUACCCAAUUUAAUCAUGAGUAAUAUUCCCCUUUCCCCUCCAACUAAGCGUAAAGCUUUUGCUAGGAGUGGGUUCGACAACAGUGCAAUGGGUGGGGUUUGAACCGCCGAGCAUUUGGAUUUCAGUCCGCUCCUAUCACCGUUGAGCUAUUGAGGCUUAUUAGGUUGUUACAACAAGCGGCAAGAGCACAAUUUUGCUAA
Molecule: long non-coding RNA, 234 nt
Organism: Maniola jurtina (meadow brown)
Lineage: Eukaryota; Metazoa; Arthropoda; Insecta; Lepidoptera; Nymphalidae
Exons: 3
Source: RefSeq, a predicted model, not a curated record